RNAcentral lists this ribosomal RNA (253 nucleotides) under uncultured bacterium. RNAcentral's name for it is "partial 16S ribosomal RNA". It matches the Rfam family "Bacterial small subunit ribosomal RNA", at positions 524 to 776 of the family's 1533-position model. The record is from RNAcentral.
UACGGAGGGUGCAAGCGUUGUUCGGAAUCAUUGGGCGUAAAGCGCGUGUAGGUGGCUUGGCAAGUCGGUUGUGAAAUCCCGGGGCCCAACCCCGGAACUGCAUUCGAAACUGCCUCGCUAGAGUCCCGGAGAGGAAGGCGGAAUUCCCGGUGUAGAGGUGAAAUUCGUAGAUAUCGGGAGGAACACCAGCGGCGAAGGCGGCCUUCUGGACGGUGACUGACGCUGAGACGCGAAAGCGUGGGGAGCAAACAGG